This is a long non-coding RNA of Bombyx mori (domestic silkworm), 1917 nucleotides long. RefSeq lists it as uncharacterized. The record is from RefSeq and is a predicted model, not a curated record. NCBI's taxonomy places the organism in Eukaryota, Metazoa, Arthropoda, Insecta, Lepidoptera, Bombycidae. The transcript has 2 exons.
UUCACUCCUCGCGUUCCCGCACAAAAAGUCCAGUAUAAGCCUCAAGUUUAAUUCAUAACCUUAAAUUGAUAUCAAUUAUCAAGUAUACAUUAAAAUUGCAGGGCUAUGAAAUUGUGUGUUAAUUGAAUUAAAUGUUAUCAAUGAUUUAUCAAAAACCUGAUUUUUCUUCUUACCGAUUUAGAAAAUAGAGAAAGUGAGCAAGCAAACUCUGCAAAUGGAUUAGACAGUAGGUAGGUACCUAGUAUGUAGUCGUUUUAUAGCAACGAGGAAUGAAUGAAAGGUUAUUUAGUUUAAGCGACAUUUCGCUUAAUACGCGACACAUUGCAUCUUUAUAAUUAAAGUCCGUUUUAUUUGAUAUUAGCAUCAGCAAUUCGAUGUUUUUAAUUGAGCUUCAAUUGAGUUUACCUCAUUCAAAUUGCUGAUAUUUAUUUCAAAUUUUAACCUUUAAAUGGCUCUCCUGUAAACUUACAGGAACACACACAACAGCCUUUCACUCUUCGAUAUGAACUUAUACGAAUACGUAUACGAGGGCUAUAUAUUUCUAAUAAGCCUAAAGUAUUUUUCCUAUUUUCUGUCUUAAUAGAAUGCUCUUCUCUGGUUUUCAGAUUGGAAAAAUAAAUAACAAAGUUUUGUAACCUUCAAAUAUUUUGGCAAACGAGCAUUAUUAAUUUAUGUAAAUAUCAUUCAUCAGACGUACCGAACAACAUAACGAAAUCAAUAAAACAAUAAAUCUGAGUAUUUGUUCUCGUGACCAUAACGAUGUUCAUUAAGCUCAUAACGUUUCAAGUUAUUGAAGCGACCUUGGGAGCAGUCAGUCGACACAAUCAAUUGAAAUCACUGUAAACGAGCCGGGCGACGCGAAAGGCACUUUAAAGUUCGAGGACACGCAUAUUACCGACGGAUACAUGAAAUAUUUCAUUACGAACAUCGAUCACUACACACGUGGGCCUUUUGAAAUACCAACAUCCAAUUUCCGAGGUUUAUUUAUUUUACAUCGUCAUUUCCUACAUUGUGUUAUAAGGCGAUAUAAGGUUUCCGACUAACACGGCGAAGGUCAUCUUACGAGGUUGCUUUUCUAAAAAUCUAAUUUACGAACGAAAAUAGUCAGUUAAAUUGGAUGUCAACAUGCCAGUGCAUUCGUGAAAAUGAAAGGGGAGAAAAGAAGACUUAAAUUUUUUAUUACAUUUAUGUUGUGUCUGUGCACUCAACACUUAACAGUUGGGUUUGUUUAUUCAAUUAAAUUUAUAGAUUGCCACUAUAACAAAUAAAAUUUUAUUUGAAUAAAUUUACUUACUUUAAUUGUUCAGUAUGUGAGUUAUUACAUGCUUUGUAAUUAAUUCUGAAUUUUUAGAAAUAAAUAAAUAAUAUUCAGUGUGUACAAUAUGAAUUAUAGCUUUUCAUGUACAUCAGUUUCUUAAAGAUAUCUUCUAUCUAUCUUGGGGUAUCUUCCCAGAAUUAUUUAUAUACAAAAAAUAUAUUUGUUUGUGUAAAUAUAAUUGUGAUUGUAAAAAUGUAUUUUUAAUAAAGUAAUAUUAUAUUAAUAUUAUUAUCUAAUCUGUGAAUAAUAUAAGCUUGGUUCUUCAAAUUAGUAGACAAAUGAGAUUAAGCAUAAUGAAGAUCAUUUUAAGUUUUAUAGAAUAUUAACUGUUUCACGCAUUAAUAAAAAAAGGAUAUUUAGAAAUACUUAUGUAUAAAAAAUACUCUGUUCAAAUUCUACAUGUUGCUCUUGUUUCAUAUUUUUAACACAAUUAUUGUUAUUUUGCAGUAUGCACUGAUAAAAGGUAAUAUAAUAUUUUUGUAGACUGUUUUCACUGAUAUUCAUUAUUCUACUUAAUCCAAAUGACUAUAUUAUUAUUUUUAUAAAAUCUGUAUAUUAAAAGAAAAUAAAACUUUAAAUUGACUUGAAAAAUAUAAAAA